Molecule: ribosomal RNA, 37 nt
Filed under: Xerocomellus sp. 'diffractus'
Lineage: Eukaryota; Fungi; Basidiomycota; Agaricomycetes; Boletales; Boletaceae
Description: partial 28S ribosomal RNA
Source: RNAcentral
CUUGACCUCAAAUCAGGUAGGACUACCCGCUGAACUA